CUUAUACUGGGGGAUAGCCUUUAGAAAUGAAGAUUAAUACCCCAUAGUAUGUGACUGUGGCAUCACAGACACAUUAAAGGUUACGGUAUAAGAUGAGCAUGCGUCCUAUUAGCUAGAUGGUGUGGUAACGGCACACCAUGGCGACGAUAGGUAGGGGCCCUGAGAGGGGGAUCCCCCACACUGGCACUGAGACACGGACCAGACUCCUACGGGAGGCAGCAGUGAGGAAUAUUGGACAAUGGAGGCAACCCUGAUCCAGCCAUGCCGCGUGCAGGAAGACUGCCCUAUGGUUGUAAACUGCUUUUAUACGGGAAGAAACACCCCUACGUGUAGGGACUUGACGGUACCGUAAGAAUAAGCAUCGGCUAACUCCGUGCCAGCAGCCGCGGUAAUACGGAGGAUGCAAGCGUUAUCCGGAAUCAUUGGGUUUAAAGGGUCCGUAGCGGGCAAUUAAGUCAGAGGUGAAAGUUUGCGGCUCAACCGUAAAAUUGCCUUUGAUACUGGUUGUCUUGAAUCAUUGUGAAGUGGUUAGAAUAUGUAGUGUAGCGGUGAAAUGCAUAGAGAUUACAUAGAAUACCAAUUGCGAAGCAGAUCACUAACAAUGUAUUGACGCUGAGGGACGAAAGCGUGGGGAGCGAACAGGAUUAGAUACCCUGGUAGUCCACGCCGUAAACGAUGGAUACUAGCUGUUCGAUCUUCGGAUUGAGUGGCUAAGCGAAAGUGAUAAGUAUCCCACCUGGGGAGUACGUUCGCAAGAAUGAAACUCAAAGGAAUUGACGGGGGCCC
Molecule: ribosomal RNA, 786 nt
Filed under: uncultured bacterium
Lineage: Bacteria
Description: bacterial SSU rRNA
Rfam family: Bacterial small subunit ribosomal RNA
Source: RNAcentral